This 94-nucleotide transfer RNA is filed under the name Comamonadaceae bacterium OS-1. The record is from RNAcentral. Lineage: Bacteria; Pseudomonadati; Pseudomonadota; Betaproteobacteria; Burkholderiales; Comamonadaceae.
GCUGGUGCUGGUGCAGCGGGCGCUGGAGCCGCUUUAGGCGCAUCAGCGGGGGCGGCGGCAGCGCCACCGGCGACUUCCAGCAUCACCACCAGCG